UAACCCACCCAGCACCAGACGUCAUUUGGACGUUGUUUUCUGGUCUAAAUAAAGUCGGCCCGUCAUGGCUUUCUUUUAGACCAAAAAACGACGUUGAAAAAUGGUCUUUGUUUGGUCCGAGAGAUUUGGUCCAAAUUAAGCCCAAAAAGCGACGUUUAACGUCUUUUUUUUUUUAAUCCAAAUUUAGCCCAAAAAUAGAUGUAGAUGGGCUUUUGUCCAAAUUUAGCAGAAAAACACGUUUAUUUCGGACCACAGCCAUUAACAAAUAUAGCUAGUGAAGAAAUAGAUUAUACAUCAUAUCUGAAGCACUGUUAAAUAUAUUGAAAUAUAUUUUGAAAACACUGGAUGGGCGCGCGCUGAACUGGAGCGGAGGACGUCACCAUGGAAACGGGGCGGCAGCUCAACUGUCAAGCAGCUGAACGCUGUCUCUCAUGGUUGUUUUUACUAAUUUCAGAAAUGGUUUAUUGUCUUCAGAAAAAGUCCGUUAGCAUCUCAACCUUAAUGCUAACUACAAGAGAGACUGAAAAUCAUCGAUAAACCACAAGAGUUUAGCUCCAACCCCAAUUAAGCAGACCUGAGCAGCUGAUCAAAGAUCACCAGAAACUCUGCAGAACGGUGGUCCUGCAUGCCCAGGACUGGACACCAGUGUUAUGCUGGAGAAAAAACAGCGAAAAAACAUCUGCCAUGGCUCAUUAAUCCAGAAUUGGGAUGGUGGAAGGAGCAGAAGAACCAGAAGAUCAGAGAUCAGGCAGAGAUCUACUGGUGCCCCUGUGGGAACCAAUUUACCUAAUGAGUUAGUUAAACCAAAGAUUUUCAUCACUCACCUUCAUGUUGUUCCAAGUCAGACUUUUGUUCAUCUUUGAAACAUAAAUGCAGAACUUUUUAAUGAAAUCUGAGAAAUUAAUUUUUUUAUUUAUAAAAUAACACAUUCACGAGAGCACCAUGAUGCAUUAGUGUUGAGUUGGCGUGAGAGCUGGCAAUCUCAUGGUACUUUUGUGAAAAUCUGUUGGGGAUACAUCAUUUCUGAAUACAUUUUUGCUGUUGUUGUUUUUUUGUACACAAGGCAUCUGUUAAAAAACCUUAAUUUGUGUUCUGCACAAAAGGGUCUUAUGGGUUUGGAGCAACAUGAGGGUAAGUAAUUAAUGACAGAAUUUACAUUUUUGGUUGUUCUAAUGUGGUUAUUAUUGGUCAUUAUUUCCAUUUUCAAUAUUUUAAAGAUUUAUUGUCUUGAAAAAUUAUGUUUAUACAGAAAGAUUGAUUCAUUGGAUAAGUUACAGUAAAGACUUUUAAAUUGAUAAAAAAUUAAAAUAAAUACUGCUCUUUUGCAAGCUCUAUUAAAAAAUACUGAUAAAUUUAAUGGUUUCAACAAAAUAUUAAGCAGCACAACUGUUUUCAACAUUGAUAAUAAUCAGAAAUGUUUCUUGAGCAGCAAAUCAUCAUAUUAGAAUGAUUUUUGAAGAUCAUGUGACACUGAAGACUGGAGUAAUGAUGCUGAAAAUUCAGUUUACAUGGAUAAAUUACAUUUUACAAUGCAUCCGCAUAGAAAAACAAUUAUUUCUGUAGUUAUAUUUCACAAUAUUACUGUUUUUACGGUCUGUUUAAUCAAAU
Molecule: long non-coding RNA, 1608 nt
Organism: Cyprinus carpio carpio
Lineage: Eukaryota; Metazoa; Chordata; Actinopteri; Cypriniformes; Cyprinidae
Source: Ensembl